CGCGUAGGAAUCUACCUAGUAGUGGGGGACAACAUGUGGAAACGCAUGCUAAUACCGCAUACGCCCUACGGGGGAAAGCGGGGGAUCUUCGGACCUCGUGCUAUUAGAUGAGCCUGCGUAAGAUUAGCUAGUUGGUGAGGUAAUGGCUCACCAAGGCGACGAUCUUUAGCUGGUCUGAGAGGAUGAUCAGCCACACUGGGACUGAGACACGGCCCAGACUCCUACGGGAGGCAGCAGUGGGGAAUAUUGCACAAUGGGGGAAACCCUGAUGCAGCCAUGCCGCGUGUGUGAAGAAGGCUC
RNAcentral lists this ribosomal RNA (300 nucleotides) under uncultured Alteromonadales bacterium. RNAcentral describes it as "bacterial SSU rRNA". It matches the Rfam family "Bacterial small subunit ribosomal RNA", at positions 114 to 417 of the family's 1533-position model. The record is from RNAcentral. Lineage: Bacteria; Pseudomonadati; Pseudomonadota; Gammaproteobacteria; Alteromonadales.